UACGGAGGGGGCAAGCGUUGUUCGGAAUUACUGGGCGUAAAGGGCUCGUAGGUGGCCAACUAAGUCAGACGUGAAAUCCCUCAGCUUAACUGGGGAACUGCGUCUGAUACUGGAUGGCUUGAGUUCGGGAGAGGGAUGCGGAAUUCCAGGUGUAGCGGUGAAAUGCGUAGAUAUCUGGAGGAACACCGGUGGCGAAGGCGGCAUCCUGGACCGACACUGACGCUGAGGAGCGAAAGCCAGGGGAGCAAACGGG
Molecule: ribosomal RNA, 253 nt
Filed under: uncultured bacterium
Lineage: Bacteria
Description: partial 16S ribosomal RNA
Rfam family: Bacterial small subunit ribosomal RNA
Source: RNAcentral